GCCGCUAUGGCGAAAUUGGUAAACGCACACGACUCAAAAUCGUGCGGGAAACCUUGUGGGUUCGAGUCCCACUAGCGGCA
Molecule: transfer RNA, 80 nt
Filed under: Lachnospiraceae bacterium
Lineage: Bacteria; Bacillati; Bacillota; Clostridia; Lachnospirales; Lachnospiraceae
Also listed under: 1 other name
Description: tRNA-Leu
Rfam family: tRNA
About the family: Transfer RNA (tRNA) molecules are approximately 80 nucleotides in length. Their secondary structure includes four short double-helical elements and three loops (D, anti-codon, and T loops). Further hydrogen bonds mediate the characteristic L-shaped molecular structure. tRNAs have two regions of fundamental functional importance: the anti-codon, which is responsible for specific mRNA codon recognition, and the 3' end, to which the tRNAs corresponding amino acid is attached (by aminoacyl-tRNA synthetases). tRNAs cope with the degeneracy of the genetic code in two manners: having more than one tRNA (with a specific anti-codon) for a particular amino acid; and 'wobble' base-pairing, i.e. permitting non-standard base-pairing at the 3rd anti-codon position.
Source: RNAcentral